Molecule: transfer RNA, 70 nt
Filed under: Dipodomys ordii (Ord's kangaroo rat)
Lineage: Eukaryota; Metazoa; Chordata; Mammalia; Rodentia; Heteromyidae
Rfam family: tRNA
About the family: Transfer RNA (tRNA) molecules are approximately 80 nucleotides in length. Their secondary structure includes four short double-helical elements and three loops (D, anti-codon, and T loops).
Source: Rfam by way of RNAcentral
GGGAAUGUGGCUUAGUGGUAGAGUGCUUGCCUAGCAUGCAUGAAGUUCUGGGUUCAAUUCCUCAGCACCA